This 274-nucleotide ribosomal RNA is filed under the name uncultured bacterium. Its description in RNAcentral is "partial 16S ribosomal RNA". It matches the Rfam family "Bacterial small subunit ribosomal RNA", at positions 523 to 796 of the family's 1533-position model. The record is from RNAcentral.
AUACGAAAGGUGCAAGCGUUGUUCGGAUUUACUGGGCGUAAAGAGAGUGUAGGUUGUUUAUUAAGUCGGAUGUGAAAUCCCGGGGCUCAACCUCGGAACUGCAUUCGAUACUGGUAGACUAGAGUUCGGGAGGGGUAAGCGGAAUUCCGUGUGUAGCAGUGAAAUGCGUAGAUAUACGGAGGAACACCUGAGGCGAAGGCGGCUUACUGGACCGAUACUGACACUGAGACUCGAAAGCGUGGGUAGCAAACAGGAUUAGAAACCCCGGUAGUCC